CCAAAUCAAAUAACCCCUUAACCAACCCAAAAAAUCCCAUCGCCCCUCCCUUUCUCUCAUUUUGGUGUUUCAUUUUUUCUUAUCCCCAAACCCUAAAAACCAUCUUCUCCCAAAAACCCCCCAAGCCGCCACACCCUUGAGACCUCCUCUAUACUUUUCAUCUUCUCCAAACGACCCCUCUCCCCAUCGCGAACAACCAGCCCCCUCGCUGCUUCUCCUUCACGAAACCAAACAGCCCACACCAAACAACCUGCAACAUCCAUUCUUCGUCGCCCAAACGACCACCACACACAUCGUCCAGUAACGACGACCUCGAGUGUUCAACCAUGAACUGUUGUUGUCCCCGUCCCUCGUAAGCCAACUUCUUCUUUCUCCAGUUCACAACCAAGCGAACCCCUUCUCCUUGGCUACUCCAGCUCGACCAAACGAACUCACAACCAAUCCGUUUGAUUUCAAAAGGUUCGAGUCUCAGUUUGAGCUUGAGUUCGUCCUGUCUUGAUUUCAUGAGGUAUUUUUCCUCCCCUUUUUGUUCUAUUUUGGUGUUAUUAUUAUUUGCUUAUGUUUGUUGUGUUAAUUCUUUUUUUGAUGUUGUCAAGCAUCUUUUCCUCCUUCUACGGACCUUUUUAUUUGGUCCAGUUUUAUCAUCACUUUUUUUUUUGUUGAUUGUCAUGUGUUAUACUUGUUGAGUCGUUGAAAUAACUUCGUCCAUUAGUCCGUUCAUAUUUGUAAUUUGUUAUUCUCGUCAAAUGGAUUGAUGUCGAAUGUGCUAUGUGCUAAUCCUUAGGCUUUUGUUGAUAAGAUUCACUCUAUGUUUUGUUCGUGCAUCCUACUGUUUUAAUUUGCUCUUUGUUGUUCAUUAUAUGGUUUGGUUCCCUGAAUCCUUAGUCUUUGUUCUCAUGAUAUUUGAUCUAAUAUGAGUUUCUAGCUUGAAUUUGUUGAUUUGAAUUUAAUUAGGAAUUGGUUAUAGUUGUUGUAGUUUGGUUAAUUGAUUAGGAAGGAUUGGAUAUAGCUGAUGGGGUAGAAUAGUACUUUUAGGGCAUCAGGGGGUAAUAAAUUGGAGUGCUCUGUCCAGGAGCAUUAAUGUGAUAUUAGAAUAAGUCACUUGUUUAAUAUAGUGGGGAACAAUAUAUAUAGUAGUGGGGGAUUAAUUGUUUAAAUAAAGAAAAAUAAGGGUUAGUGGGGAACACGACAUAAUGAUGUAAAUAAAGGAAAAGGGGGUUUGAAAAGUAAAAAAAAGGGAAUAAUAAUGAAACAUUUAAAAGUAUUCAUAUAGUAAAAUAAUAUAUAAAGGCUAGAAAGUAAAAGGAGGAGGGUGUAAUAAUAAAAAUUUUUCCUUUUACUACUAUAAAAGAAAAAAGGAGGGCUGAAAACAGAAAAGAGUUUUGGGUUUAAAUAUAGAGAUUGAGAGAUUUAUUAUAGGGGACUUGAACGUAGAAUAAUAAAGAAUUUGAGAGUUGAAAACCCCAUUGCUUCAUUGAUUUUAUUUUCCUGAUCAAAACACACUAACACUGAUCAUAAGUAACUCUAGUGCACCUUUUGAAUUCAUUUUAACUUGUAUUGGUAUUGUUGUUAGCCAAUCUCUGUUUUCUGUUUGGUUCACUGAUUCAUUUUUGAGUUGAACCUAAUGUACUAGUUCAAUUAGUUGCUGGUUGGUAUUUCUGAAAAUUGCAAACUGGUUUUCCUAAGUGUGCUACUGGACUUAUGUUACUCUGUUAGUGUUGCUGGGUAUUGUUGUUUGCUACUGUUGUUUGCUAUUGCUGCUGACCUUCCCCUCUUCUUCUACUUUCAAUUCCAGGUACACGUCUUGAACUAUAGUGAAGUGAUGUACGAUUUUAAGAAGUGGAAGUGAAAUUUUGUUUUUUUAAUCUACCAAUCUACUCAUCUACUGUGUUUAGUCAUAGUCUAAUUCAGUUGAUUUCUAUAUUUGCUAACUGAGUUUUGUAAUUAAACUUGGUUUGAUGGACUUUUAAGAGUGUUUGAGUAGUUAGAUUUGUAUUUGUGAUCAAAAUGAUGGACUGGAUCGGUAUGUAUGAGAUUGUUUCAGUUUACUUGAUCAUAUUCAUGUGAGUUCUAUUGGUUAAACCUUAGGUUGUUAUUAUAUUCACUAUAGCUGGUAGAACAAGGUUUUAUGUAGUCGAAGCUAACUCCAGUGGUUGUUCCAAAGUAAUAAAGUCGUUUGGAUCACUUGAUGAACAUAUUGCUGAAUAGGAAUGCUAUAGGUAAUUAAACCAUGUAAUCAGUUAUUGGUUUGUAUAUUUGAACCCAUUUCAUGAGGGUUCUAUUAAGUCAAGUCUUUGGCGUUUAAUUUCGCCCAGUCCAUUAGUUGUUAAAAAAUGAAAAAAUAAG
This 2346-nucleotide long non-coding RNA is filed under the name Nicotiana benthamiana. Its description in RNAcentral is "long non-coding RNA (NBEN_LNC031881)". The record is from RNAcentral. Lineage: Eukaryota; Viridiplantae; Streptophyta; Magnoliopsida; Solanales; Solanaceae.